Molecule: ribosomal RNA, 450 nt
Filed under: uncultured bacterium
Lineage: Bacteria
Description: partial 16S ribosomal RNA
Rfam family: Bacterial small subunit ribosomal RNA
Source: RNAcentral
CCAGACUCCUACGGGAGGCAGCAGUGAGGAAUAUUGGGCAAUGGGCGCAAGCCUGACCCAGCAAUGCCGCGUGAAGGAAGAAGGCCCUCGGGUUGUAAACUUCUUUUAUCAGGGACGAAGGAUGUGACGGUACCUGAUGAAUAAGCUCCGGCUAACUACGUGCCAGCAGCCGCGGUAAUACGUAGGGGGCAAGCGUUAUCCGGAUUCACUGGGCGUAAAGGGAGCGCAGGCGGCACGGCAAGUCUGGUGUGAAAACCCGGGGCUCAACCCCGGGACUGCAUUGGAAACUGCCGGGCUGGAGUGUCGGAGGGGUAAGCGGAAUUCCUAGUGUAGCGGUGAAAUGCGUAGAUAUCAGGAGGAACACCGGUGGCGAAGGCGGCCUGCUGGACUGCAACUGACGUUGAGGCCCGAAAGCGUGGGGAGCAAACAGGAUUAGAUACCCGAGUACCC